Long non-coding RNA from Homo sapiens (human), 2047 nucleotides. The record is from Ensembl. NCBI's taxonomy places the organism in Eukaryota, Metazoa, Chordata, Mammalia, Primates, Hominidae.
GAAAAUAUCUUAUACUUCUUUCUAUUCAAUCAUCCUUGACUCCGAAAGUGCCUCUUAUUUUCUUUUGGUGGAACAGUGGAAAAAAAAUAUCACACUGGAAGGCCAAUUGACUGAAAUCAAGUCCCUUUUCCUAACUGUGUGAACUGGGUCCUUCACAUCACUAUCCUUCAACAACAAGAAAAACAAAAAACAUCCUAUAAAUGUAUAAAGAAGAAAAUGAAAGUUCUUUCUUUGCUACCCCUAGUUCUCUUCCCCUUCCUAGAGGCUAAACUAUUUUGUGUGCAUGUGUGUGUGUGUGUAGAAUGUACACAUAUAUGUAGGGGAUUGGUUCUAGGACUCUGUCCCCUGUGAAUACCAAAAUUCAGGGACGCCUAAGUUCCUUAUAUAAAAUGAUGCUUAUAACCUACGCACAUCCUCCUGUAUACUUUAAAUAAUCUUGAUUACUUAUAAUAUCUAAAACAGUGUAAAUGCUAUGUAAAUAGUUGUUAUACUGUAUUGUUUAGGAAAUAAUGACAAGAAAAAAGUCUGCACAUGGUCAGAACAGAUUCAACCAUUCUUUUUUUAUAUAUUUUUUUCUGAAUAAUUACAAUCCAUGGUUUGUUGAAUCCACAGAUGCAGAACUGGUGGAUAUGGAGGGCUGACUGUAUACAUGUAUCUUCCCCAUAUAAAUAGAACAAUAUUUUAUAUACUGUUCUUCAAAUGGCAUUUUCCCUUUGAAGCUCUUUUCAAAUAUGUAAAAAUCUAUUUUUAAAAACUGCUGCACAGUAGCUCAUAGAAUGAAUCUACCAUAUUUCCUUUACUCUUUCCCCUCUUGGUGGUCCUUUAGGUGGUGUUUGGUUUUUUUCUAUUAUAAAUAGUGUGCAAUGACCAUGCUUGUAAGUGCUUCUAUACUCAUAUAUGUUUCUCUGAGCACAGAUGCCUAGAUCUAGAAGCCAAACAGAUGGGUUGAAGGUGAUACCUAAUUUUAACAUUUGAUGACUCCUGCCAAAUUACCCUCUGAAAAGAAUUUAACAAUUUAUAUUCCUUCCACAUCAUUGCCUCUUUCCCCACAUCAUAAUGUAAGUCUUCUUAUUUUUUACUCACCAAAGGGAGAGAAAUAUUUACUGUUUAAAACUGAGCACCUUUUAAACUGCUUUUCUUUCUUUAUUGGCUUAACUCUUCAAGAUGUGUCUUUUUUCUGAUUGGACUAUUGUUUUUAUCUUUACUGGCUUUUAGAAGCUCUUUAUAUAAUCUGGAUAAUAAGCUUUCGUCAUCAAUAUAUGUUGCAGAUAUUUCCUCUCAGUGUGUCAUCAGAUUUUGUAUUUAUGUCUAUUUAUUAUGUCUGUGACCAUACAAAUUAUUAAAUUUCUUAUAAGGUUAGGCUAAGCUUCUUUCUUUAUGAGUUAAUGGGGGUUGUCUGUCUUAGAAAGGAUCUCUCAUUCCAAACCUUAAAACUAUUCUCCUAAUAAUUUUAGAUUUGUUCAACUGAGAGAGUGCUUAACUCAGGAGAUCAAUAAAGGUUCAUAGAGGAAGAAGUAUUUGAAAUUGUCCUGGAAGAACAAUAUUUUUCAACAGGCAGAGAUGGAGAAAGGACAAUCUACAUGAACAGAACAGCAUGAGCAAAAAGAACUGGUUAGAGACUAUCCAUAGGAUAAAUUUCUAGCAAAUUGCUGAGUCCAGGAUAUGCAUGUUUGCAAUUUUGGAAGAUCUUAAAAACUUGCCUCCUAUAGGUGUUGUACCAGUAUAUACUUCUGCCAGUAAUAGAUGGGUGGGCUGCUGAUGCCUCAAAAUAGAUGAAGGUAGACCUUAUUUUGAAAAAUAUUCAAAUUGUCAUAAUUAAAUUCAAAUUAUUGGAAGAAGGAAAGAGGAGCUACCACGGGAGUGUCAGAAGAUUCUGCUUAAACAGAAUUUCAGUGCUCACUGCUUCAUCUUCAAAAAUUUGAUCCUGAAACCUGUGAACUCAGCUUAUACUGUGUUAAUUUACACAUAGUCAUAUUAUUUUGUACUGUGGCUGCAGAUUAAUGCUGCUUUAAACUCAUUUUAAAAUACCACUUUAAAAAUUAACACC